Molecule: ribosomal RNA, 450 nt
Filed under: uncultured bacterium
Lineage: Bacteria
Description: partial 16S ribosomal RNA
Rfam family: Bacterial small subunit ribosomal RNA
Source: RNAcentral
CCUACGGGUGGCUGCAGUAGGGAAUAUUGGACAAUGGGCGCAAGCCUGAUCCAGCCAUCCCGCGUGAAGGAUUAAGGCCCUCUGGGUUGUAAACUUCUUUUCUCUGGGAAUAAAAACCGGUAUUUAUAUUGGCUUGAAGGUACCAGAGGAAUAAGCACCGGCUAACUCCGUGCCAGCAGCCGCGGUAAUACGGAGGGUGCAAGCGUUAUCCGGAUUCACUGGGUUUAAAGGGAGCGUAUAUGGCUGUGUAGAAAUAUUGCGGCUCAACCGCAAAACUGCCAUUGAGACUGCUUAGCUUGAAUCAAGUCGAGGUGGAUGGAAUAAUACAUGUAGCGGUGAAAUGCUUAGAUAUGUAUUAGAACACCGAUUGCGAAGGCAGUUCACUAGGCUUGUAUUGACACUGAGGCUCGAAAGCGUGGGGAUCAAACAGGAUUAGAUACCCUGGUAGUC